Molecule: long non-coding RNA, 1230 nt
Filed under: Marmota monax (woodchuck)
Lineage: Eukaryota; Metazoa; Chordata; Mammalia; Rodentia; Sciuridae
Source: RNAcentral
GUUAGUGAUAAAUCAUACACUGUUCAUUUUGCGUAGAUGGAACAUAUUUAAUUCUGAUGUACAGAGUUUCAAUUUAGCCAGGCUCAUUGCUGAGCGAAAUGAGUCUUUUGUAACUUCAGAGGAAAGAGAAAAGGCGGUUGUCUGAGCAUGGCCAAGUGGGGCCAACGAGAAAUAUGUACCUUGACCAGCCAGGAGGUUCUGGAAGAGCUUUGUGUGUGUGUGUGUGUGUUUUUCUCCCUUCUAGACAACUUGGUUAUUUGUACUGACGUUUUAUUAGGAAUAUCAGAUGUUCCGUAAAUAGCAUAAAUGACUAGAGAUGUUAAACAAAAUAGUCUCAAGGUAGAUAGUGUUUCCCUGAAGAAUGGAGAAAAAUAUAACAAAGGGUGAAUGUUUGGACAGAGCUCUGUUUAAAUGGCCGGUGUGUGUUCAACAGGGACUGUUGAAGUUGUGGUGCCUGUUAAACCCUAGUUUUAAUUCAAAAAAAAAAAAAAGAAAAAAGAAAAAAAGAAAAUGGAGUUUCUCAUCUCCAGUAAGGUUAUGCUUGGUAAUGGUUUAUUUAAAGAGAAGUCAUACUUGAAAGUCAGCAUCUUUUUCUAGCUCCAUAAAAUCUUGUGGGAAAACAGUGACCCCACAUCCACUGUCAGGAGAAUUCCUAGCACAAUUCUCUCUGAAGAUGUUUCUCCACGCGUGGGGGGGACCAUUCGAUUUACUGCAGCAUGUAGUGACAAGGAGAAAGCAAAAGAAUAAUUAGCUCUGUUUUAUAGGAUGCACGAGAGAGAGAGAGAAAGAGGGAGAGGGAUUGGAGGCUGCAGAGGAAGGGAUUGAGGGGAAGUCUGCCCUAAUGCUCUUUUUCUUUUAAGUGCAUAACCAAAACGAUUCUCUUAAAAGCAAACAUUCCCACCCUAGCUUGGGCCAGCCAUGUUCUGCCAUCUUCCUGCCACUAUCUCGUCCGUCCAGGUUGGCUGUGACCGGCUGGGCCAUCUGCUGUUCCAGUAGUGGCUUUCUGUAUGCUAAGGCAGGCCAAUUGGGUCAAAUUUUGUGAUCUGGCAGAUGUCCACUGGAGCUAAGAUCAGGCCAGACUCAUUUUUAUGUGUGUCCAAAGCCAAGAUUUCAACUUGGUGAAAGGCUGUGGAAUUUAUUUCCCAAAGCAUUGCCCACACUCCGUCCUCCUUUCUUCGCUCCCCCCACCCCUUUGCACAGGGAUGAUUGCUUAAUGCUCCCAAUUAUGCC